CGUGUGUGUGUGUGGAAUAAAUGAACGUUGCUCGUUUUCUUACCCAACCGGUUGGAGAAGCCAUGACGAGGCGGCGCGGGGGGAAAAACACGUGGGGUAAAUUAAGGAACAAGAGGUGAGCCCCACAUCACCAUUGCAGCAAUUGAUGUGAUAACGUGCAACUUGUGACAGCCUGAGCUCUGCCUGCCUGUGGUACACCCCUGUCUCCAGCAUAGCCAAGGACCUGUCCCUCUUCCUGCAGUCCCGCUCUCCUAAGUCCAGGACUCAAGACAUAUGGAGACAUUUCUUGAUGUAACCUAUCAGUGGUAAAACCCAGAUGCAGAGAUGCCUUCGAACAGACAGCCCCUUCAUUUUUCCAGAGGUGUGCUUUAAUGAGUGACUCGCCUUCCAAAAAGGGGCCGGCAGAGGGGAAGGACGGCAGAUUCUCCACACAAAUUCAAUAGCUG
Long non-coding RNA from Neopsephotus bourkii (Bourke's parrot), 446 nucleotides. RefSeq lists it as uncharacterized. The transcript is spliced from 3 exons. The record is from RefSeq and is a predicted model, not a curated record. Lineage: Eukaryota; Metazoa; Chordata; Aves; Psittaciformes; Psittacidae.